Molecule: ribosomal RNA, 253 nt
Filed under: uncultured bacterium
Lineage: Bacteria
Description: partial 16S ribosomal RNA
Rfam family: Bacterial small subunit ribosomal RNA
Source: RNAcentral
UACGAAGGGGGCUAGCGUUGUUCGGAUUUACUGGGCGUAAAGCGCACGUAGGCGGAUCUUUAAGUCAGAGGUGAAAUCCCAAGGCUCAACCUUGGAACUGCCUUUGAUACUGGGGAUCUUGAGUCCGGGAGAGGGAUGUGGAAUUCCAGGUGUAGCGGUGAAAUGCGUAGAUAUCUGGAGGAACACCGGUGGCGAAGGCGGCAUCCUGGACCGGUAUUGACGCUGAGACGCGAAAGCGUGGGGAGCGAACAGG